GCCUUCGUGAUCUAAUGGUAGCACACUCGACGCGUAUUCGAGAGGUCCAGGUUCGAAUCCCGGCAAGGGCG
Molecule: transfer RNA, 71 nt
Filed under: Stegodyphus mimosarum
Lineage: Eukaryota; Metazoa; Arthropoda; Arachnida; Araneae; Eresidae
Rfam family: tRNA
About the family: Transfer RNA (tRNA) molecules are approximately 80 nucleotides in length. Their secondary structure includes four short double-helical elements and three loops (D, anti-codon, and T loops).
Source: Rfam by way of RNAcentral